AAUAAAUGUAUUUUUUAGUUUUUGGAAACAAUGUUUGACUCUUCGUCUUAUUUGAUAUUUUUUACAAUUAUUAUUAUUAUUAGAUAAUAAAAUAUAAAUAAUACUUUACGCAUGACUAAUUUUUAUAAGUUCUUUAUAAUUUUUUUAAAUAUGAUGGAUGGUCAAACGCUGAACACAGAAAU
RNAcentral lists this microRNA precursor (182 nucleotides) under Oryza brachyantha (malo sina). RNAcentral describes it as "MIR812 microRNA precursor family". It matches the Rfam family "MIR812 microRNA precursor family". Lineage: Eukaryota; Viridiplantae; Streptophyta; Magnoliopsida; Poales; Poaceae. The record is from Rfam by way of RNAcentral.